ACAUAGUCCAUUCAGUACCUCAUAUAUGCAGCUCCGUGGCUAAGAGGAAGAAGUAGCUACAAUCCCAGGUUUCUGGGAUAUCCUGCCUCUGGGUCCUGUCCCUCUCUUACUCUCUGGAUGGAAAACCAAGAAUUUUGUGCAAUUUACAACUCUGUUCAGGAUUCAGUAUUCCAUAAGCUGCUUCAUCAGCUGGGGACUCUAAGUGAUCACAAAAAAGUUUCUGUACUGGACAUGAUGGGUACACGCCUUGUGGUCUAUGCAUGGAUGGUACUAAGCCACUGAAAAUCAAAGGUUCUGUUUCAAGACAUCACCAAACUACCUGAACGCAUCCAACACUGGAGUCCGUCAUCUAGCCAUCUCUUCUCUAUCAAAAUAUGGAAGAAUCUUGAAAUGAAGGAGCCAACAGUCUCAGCCUUACAAUUCUGAAAUUGAUUGGCAUCCAAUUAGGAUGAAUUAAUAAGGGACACAGUGUCUCCACCUUAGCUACUUUUCUGCUCACAGUAAGACAUUUCUACCUCCAUUACUUCCUUAUAUCAUUGUUUCCUUUGUUUC
Long non-coding RNA from Mesocricetus auratus (golden hamster), 552 nucleotides. RefSeq lists it as uncharacterized. The transcript has 3 exons. Lineage: Eukaryota; Metazoa; Chordata; Mammalia; Rodentia; Cricetidae. The record is from RefSeq and is a predicted model, not a curated record.